RNAcentral lists this ribosomal RNA (330 nucleotides) under Platynaspis luteorubra. RNAcentral describes it as "partial 12S ribosomal RNA". The record is from RNAcentral. Lineage: Eukaryota; Metazoa; Arthropoda; Insecta; Coleoptera; Coccinellidae.
UUAGAUACCCUAUUAUUUUAAGUGUAAAAAUAAAUAUCAAAUUAUUAGUAGUUAUUUUCUAUAAAGUUAAAUUUUAUGGCGGUAUUUUAGUCUUUUUAGAGGAACCUGUUCUAUAAAUGAUAAUCCACGAUUAAUAAAACUUUUUUUAGAAAUUUAUAUAUCGUCGUUUAAAAUAUAUUUUUAAAUAAAAAUAUUUUAAAUUUUAAAUAAAAAAUUAAUUCAGAUCAAGAUGUAGUUUAUAAAAAAGUAGAAAUGGGUUACAAUAAAAAAAUUUUUGGAUUAAAAAUUAAAAAUUUUUAUGAAAUUGGAUUUAAAAGUAAUUUUAAAUAU